GAGAGAACUAGUGACCAGAGAUAUUCUACUCCUAGCCCGCGCAUGAGAGCAUUAAUCCCCGGGUACCGUACGCAUUACUUCUCUCUCGCUUCCUUUGCGAGCAUUAUAUAUCUUCGCUUCAACGCUUCUGGUCUUCCAAACGGUCAUAUUUCUCCGUAGGCGAACGCCAAAGUUACAAACAAAGUGAGUUUCUUUUAAGAUCCCAGAAGAAAGAGGAAAGUAGAUGAAGGGAGGGUUGGUUGUGGAUAGUGGGGUUGUAUACGAAGAGGAGAAGCAUCUCACAGUG
Molecule: unclassified non-coding RNA, 286 nt
Filed under: Hevea brasiliensis (rubber tree)
Lineage: Eukaryota; Viridiplantae; Streptophyta; Magnoliopsida; Malpighiales; Euphorbiaceae
Source: RNAcentral